RNAcentral lists this ribosomal RNA (1093 nucleotides) under uncultured organism. Its description in RNAcentral is "bacterial SSU rRNA". It matches the Rfam family "Bacterial small subunit ribosomal RNA", at positions 365 to 1434 of the family's 1533-position model. The record is from RNAcentral.
UGCGCAAUGGGGGAGACCCUGACGCAGCAACGCCGCGUGACCGAUGAAGCUUUUAGGAGUGUAAAGGUCUGUCGUGAAGGAAGAAAAAGUCCGAGAAUAUAAGUUCGGUAAUUGACGGUACUUCACAAGCAAGCUCCGGCUAACUUCGUGCCAGCAGCCGCGGUAAUACGAGGGUGAAGCAAGCGUUGUCCGAAAUAACUGGGCGUAAAGGGUACGUAGGCUUUUUUGUAUGUUUUUCGGUGAAAUCCACAGGCUCAACUUGUGGCUUGCCGGAAAAACUGCAGAGAUUGAAUCCCGGAAGGGGAAAGCGGAAUUCCUGGUGUAGCGGUGAAAUGCGUAGAUAUCAGGAGGAACACCAGUGGCGAAGGCGGCUUUCUGGUCCGGAAUUGACGCUGAUGUACUAAAGCGUGGGUAGCAAACAGGAUUAGAUACCCUGGUAGUCCACGCCCUAAACGAUGUAUACUUGAUGUCGGGAUGUUCGGUCGUCUCGGUGUCGUAGCUAACGUGUUAAGUAUACCGCCUGGGGACUACGGUCGCAAGACUGAAACUCAAAGGAAUUGACGGGGGCCCGCACCAGCGGUGGAACAUGUGGUUUAAUUCGAUGCAACGCGAAGAACCUUACCUGGGCUUGACAUAUGUAUGAAGUAUGUAAGAAAUUAUGUAUUCUGUCUGUUUUUUCAGACAGCAUAUAUACAGGUGAUGCAUGGCUGUCGUCAGCUCGUGUCGUGAGAUGUAGGGUUAAGUCCCUUAACGAGCGCAACCCUUACUUUUAGUUGCCAUCAGGUAAAGCUGGGGACUCUAGAAGGACUGCCGAGGUUAACUCGGAGGAAGGUGGGGAUGACGUCAAGUCAGUAUGUCCCUUAUGUCCAGGGCUACACACGUGUUACAAUGGCCGGUACAGAGUGCCGCGAAGCCGCGAGGUGAAGCAAAUCACUCAAAGCCGGUCCCAGUUCGGAUUGGAGUCUGCAAUUCGACUCCAUGAAGUUGGAAUCGCUAGUAAUCGCAGAACAGCACGCUGCGGUGAUACGUUCCCGGGCACUUGUACACACCGCCCGUCACGCCAUGGAAGUUGGGAGCACCCAAAGUUGCUGUC